UACAGAGGGGGCAAGCGUUGUUCGGAAUUACUGGGCGUAAAGGGCGCGUAGGCGGCCUUCUAAGUCGAACGUGAAAUCCCCGGGCUCAACCCGGGAACUGCGUCCGAGACUGGAAGGCUCGAAUCCGGGAGAGGGAUGUGGAAUUCCAGGUGUAGCGGUGAAAUGCGUAGAUAUCUGGAGGAACACCGGUGGCGAAGGCGGCAUCCUGGACCGAGAUUGACGCUGAGGCGCGAAAGCCAGGGGAGCAAACGGG
This 253-nucleotide ribosomal RNA is filed under the name uncultured bacterium. RNAcentral describes it as "partial 16S ribosomal RNA". It matches the Rfam family "Bacterial small subunit ribosomal RNA", at positions 524 to 776 of the family's 1533-position model. The record is from RNAcentral.